RNAcentral lists this ribosomal RNA (636 nucleotides) under Streptomyces hirsutus. RNAcentral's name for it is "bacterial SSU rRNA". It matches the Rfam family "Bacterial small subunit ribosomal RNA", at positions 861 to 1494 of the family's 1533-position model. The record is from RNAcentral. Lineage: Bacteria; Bacillati; Actinomycetota; Actinomycetes; Kitasatosporales; Streptomycetaceae.
UUAAUUCCCCGCCUGGGGAGUACGGCCCCAAGGCUUAACACUCAAAGGAAUUGACGGGGGCCCGCCAAGCAGCCGGAGCCUGUGGCUUAAUCGCGCAACGCGAAGAACCUUCCCAAGGCUUGACAUCACCCGAAACCCUAGAAACAGUCCCCCCCCUGUUGUCCGGUACAGGUGGUGCAAGGCAGUUGUCAGCUCGUUCGUGAGAUGUUGGGUUAAGUUCCGCAACGAGCGCAACCCCUGUCCCGUGUUCCACAGGCCCCUUUGGGGGUGCGGGGACUCACGGGAGACCGCCGGGGUCAACUCGGAGGAAGGUGGGGACGACGUCAAGUCAUCAUGCCCCUUAUGUCUUGGGCUGCACACGUGCUACAAUGGCCGGUACAAUGAGCUGCGAUACCGCGAGGUGGAGCGAAUCUCAAAAAGCCGGUCUCAGUUCGGAUUGGGGUCUGCAACUCGACCCCAUGAAGUGGAGUUGCUAGUAAUCGCAGAUCAGCAUCGCUGCGGUGAAUACGUUCCCGGGCCUUGUACACACCGCCCGUCACGUCACGAAAGUCGGUAACACCCGAAGCCGGUGGCCCAACCCCCUCGCGGGGAGGGACCUUCGAAGGUGGGACGCGAUUGGAACGGAAGUCGUAACAA